AACGAACGCUGGCGGCGUGCCUAACACAUGCAAGUCGGACGAGAAAGUUUCCUUCGGGAAGCGAGUAAAGUGGCGCACGGGUGAGUAACACGUAGACAACCUGCCUUCCAGUCCGGGACAACCUUUCGAAAGAAGGGCUAAUACCGGAUAACACUUUGGGCCGCAUGGCCCGGGUUGAAAGAUUCAUCGCUGGAAGAGGGGUCGUGCGGGACAUUAGCUCGUUGGCGGGGUAACGGCCCACCAAGGCGACGANGUCUAGCGGGUCGUGAGAGGA
Molecule: ribosomal RNA, 274 nt
Filed under: uncultured bacterium
Lineage: Bacteria
Description: partial 16S ribosomal RNA
Rfam family: Bacterial small subunit ribosomal RNA
Source: RNAcentral